This 481-nucleotide ribosomal RNA is filed under the name uncultured bacterium. RNAcentral's name for it is "partial 16S ribosomal RNA". It matches the Rfam family "Bacterial small subunit ribosomal RNA", at positions 29 to 523 of the family's 1533-position model. The record is from RNAcentral.
AAUGAACGUUGGCGGCAUGGAUUAGGCAUGCAAGUCGAGCGCGAAACGUAGCAAUACGUGGAGAGCGGCGAAGGGGAGAGGAAUAUAUAGAUACCUACCUUCUGGUCUGGGAUAGCGGCGGGAAACUGCCGGUAAUACCAGAUAACGUCUCCGGACCAAAGGUGUGAUUCCACCGGGAGAGGGGUCUAUAUCCUAUCAGCUAGUUGGUAAGGUAACGGCUUACCAAGGCUAAGACGGGUACGGGGUGUGAGAGCAUGCCCCCGCUCACUGGACUGAGACACUGCCCAGACACCUACGGGUGGCUGCAGUCGAGAAUCUUCGGCAAUGGGCGAAAGCCUGACCGAGCGAUGCCGCGUGUGGGAUGAAGGCCUUCGGGUUGUAAACCACUGUCGUAGGGGAUUAAUGGUAGGUGGGUUCUCCCAUCUAUUUGAACGAUCCUAGGAGGAAGGACGGGCUAAGUUCGUGCCAGCAGCCGCCGUAA